GCCAUGGUUGGUGAUGGCGUUGAAGUUUCAUCCCGUGGUGCUCGGUGGCAGUGGUGGCCUCGGCGGUGUGGUGAACUCUCUGGGUUCCUCAAGGCAGUGCUGCGGGGCUGCACCGCUCUGCGCCGGCAAUAGCGGUCUACGACGGCGUCACGGUGAGCUCUCGACACUCUGAUGCAUUGCCAAGAUUUAUGCCCCUGUAUUUCUCCUCCCGUCUCUCCCAAUCUAGAAUUCUACUUUCCCUAUGGAACUUAGGCGUAUUGACUUGCCAGAUGCGGCGGCUGCUAUGGUGCUAGGUCUUGGCCUUUCUCAGAUUCGGUGCAGGUUGUUGCAUCCGUACAUGAAGUUUUACUCGUUUCAAUUUGGCUGCACAAAUUUUAGUAUGGGCCUUCACCGGAUUUGAUGUUGAGGACAAAUCAAGAGCUUCUCUUUAGAUCUAGCCUACAGAUGCUCCCAGUCCUCCUACUAAGCUCCUAUUUUCAAUAAAUAGUUUACAUUCAGCAUUUUGUGUCUGAUGAAUCCUCCGUUUAGAGUCCCCAUAUGUUGCAUGUUCUAAUAAAUAGCCAUGUUUCUUCUUUAUUAUGAAUAAACUCAUCUUUUUUCCUUGGAGCUCCACUAUUUUGAAUGAAUUCGACUGUUCCCUGCUACUGAAAAGUACCAUGUCCGGCCAUUUAAACUUAGAAUCGAAUCGGGGUGCUGCUACUGUAUUAGGUUGACCAUCCAAUCAUUGUGAAUCUGCUCUGCUGCACAAGAAGGCAUGGUCAGAAACCGGGAAGGGUGGCACCCCAAUAAGAAGCACAAAUCAUUUAAGCCCGAGUAACCAUGAUCUCAAUGCACAAUAUCAUUGCCUUGCUGAUAGUUCAGUUAGUCGAAGCACUGCCACUGGGGCUGAUCAUACCUUGAAUUGAUCAAAAUUUGAACCUUUCGGUUACCUCAUAUUGCUAAAGGACACAAAUGUGACUUUUCUUAAACUUUAAUCGUCGUCAUAAAAUUAUGGAUUUUCACUUUGACCGGAAGUUGUUGAGGGUAUCUAUGGAAAGCUUCAGAACUUUUCUCUAGGUGCAUCCAGAACACUAGUGAGAUAUGGUAGCAACUACAAAAAAAAUUAGGAUGCAGGAUCACGUUUUCUAUUUCCAAUUCAUGGUACAUUCGUAGCUCUUUGUCAACUCUAUGAAAGCACUACAUACACCUGCAGUACACUAAAGUUUUUCAGGUUUGGUUAUCAUUUUUUUUACAUUGUGCUUCAGUCGAGUAAUGAAUGGUUAAGUACCUAUUUAUUGCUACUUUUGAUCUGUUGAUAGACACCGGACAGAACGAUAUAGCUGGGCAUGCUCCUAUUCUCUUUAUUCAGAACGACAUUGAAUGAACUUGAGGUUACACUAGCAUUUGUGUGACUAACAGCUACUCCUUGGAUGAUUACGUGUUUCAGAAUGAAGAUGCAUGAUUAUGUGCUUUAGAAUGAAGAUGCAUGAUUAUGUGUUUCAGGAGCUGCUAGUCGUACCAUAGAAGCAAUGAAUAAACCUCUUCUCGCUAUUUUCAUUUCAAGUGCAAUAAUCUGCUGGAGGUGUUUUCCAUUCAGACAAGUGAAGUUUUGCACCCUGCAAGUGUGCAGAUGUAUUCUGGAAGAAGAAAAGCAUACCCAGUAAGAUGCAAUCCUUGCCAUUUUACUGAGCAAGUUCAUUCAUAUUAUUUUUAGGUCCUCCUUGACAAUGUAUUUGAUCAAUUGUUAAAAAAAAUUCCUAGAUUGUGAGAGUAAAAUAAAGUACGUUCAGAAUACUAUUCUUGAUUCAGUAAAAACAGUCACCUAGUUUAACCCCAGCUAUUGUGUUAAAGAACAUACACUGACAAUAAGGAUUGAACUUCUCAUAAUGGUAAUGAUGAGUGUGCAAGGGCUAUUAAGGUCAUAUAGGUCUAAUUAAAAUUAUCACAGAAAGGAGAGGAGGAAACUGAGCUCCGCUCUUUUUCUAUCUGGGAGAGAAGUCUUUUUCUCCUUAAAACCUGCACUUUUUAUUGGUUUUAUAGGAAAAAAAAUCUCUGGCUCUAUUGAUUAUAGGUUGUUUAGUAGUGCACUACUAGUACCAUGCCAUACCAUUGGUUUGGACUGAUCAAAGGCAAAUUAAAGGUCAGUUAGAUAAAUGUCGCUACUGUACUCACACAUCUUAUAUGUAUUUUAGAUUUGUACACACUUCGUGAAAGUGUGACUUCUGUAGGCAAACUCUUCCAUCUGACGUUGUUCAACAGGUCGUAGAGAACAAAGUAUUCAGGCUUCGAUCAGAUGUCCAACACCUCCAGAACCUUGAUUGGUGUCUUUCAGAAAGAACCUUGAUUGGUUAUCGUACAUGCCUAAACUCUAUUCUGGAAAGUUGUACAUGUAAUCAUUAGUUCUAUGAGAGUAUGGAGAUUGAAUUUG
Molecule: long non-coding RNA, 2407 nt
Filed under: Triticum aestivum (bread wheat)
Lineage: Eukaryota; Viridiplantae; Streptophyta; Magnoliopsida; Poales; Poaceae
Description: long non-coding RNA (TAES_LNC013488)
Source: RNAcentral